Mercenaria mercenaria is the source of this 700-nucleotide long non-coding RNA. RefSeq lists it as uncharacterized. The transcript has 2 exons. The record is from RefSeq and is a predicted model, not a curated record. NCBI's taxonomy places the organism in Eukaryota, Metazoa, Mollusca, Bivalvia, Venerida, Veneridae.
GGUGAUACUAACCCUAACCUCUGGUCAGUAUAUCAUACAUAUUAUAAUCUAAAUGCGUGCGAACAUGCAAUAAUUUGCGCAUUUUUGCCGUACGCGACAUUAGAUAAUCACUUCCGGGCAUGCGCAGAAGACCGCUCCAACUCUGCAAUGAGCUACAUCGAUUAGAAACAACUAAAUGAGCACGGUGUUGGGAUAAAUAUCGACCCGUCCGGAAAAAACUAUCGUGAGCGCCUUUAAGAGGGUUUGGUAUCUUGUUCUGUGUUAUUGUUAUAAAAUUUAGCUGGAUAUUGCAAAGUUUAUGAAAGCGAAAGCCCUGCUGAAUAAGCAUACCUGUAGUGUGAUAAUAGAUUAUAGACACUACGACGUGGCAAAAAGAUGUUACACGAAGACAUCUAAAUGAAGUGUACAUUCCGAAAACAGAACGACCUCCGGACCAGCAUAAAAGUUCGGUAUUUGGAAGUUUCCGGAAUUCAGAAGUUUUGAAGUUUGCAGGCAAAGUGGACGUGGUGCACUAGAGUUAUGUUUUCUUAUACGUAGGAUGAAGGGGAUUAUAAUCUUUUAUAGUUGUAUAAGUGUGUAUAAAGUAAUUAAUUAAUUAAUUAAUUACAAACAUUAAGGAUAAUCAAGUAUGUAUAGUAAAUACAUAAAUAACAAAAAUAAAAAACCUGAGUAAAAUUAAAAAAUAAAUAAAUGAUCAGCC